GGUUAAGUGACCAAGCGUAUACGGUGGAUGCCUUGGCAGUCAGAGGCGAUGAAGGACGUAGUAACUUGCGAAAAGCGUUGGCGAGCUAGUAACAAGCAUUUGAGCUAACGAUGUCCGAAUGGGGAAACCCACUCACAUAAGUGAGUAUCUGCACAUGAAUACAUAGUGUGUAGAGGCAAACCCGGGGAACUGAAACAUCUAAGUACCCGGAGG
RNAcentral lists this ribosomal RNA (213 nucleotides) under Shewanella algicola. RNAcentral's name for it is "partial 23S ribosomal RNA". It matches the Rfam family "Bacterial large subunit ribosomal RNA", at positions 1 to 216 of the family's 2925-position model. The record is from RNAcentral. Lineage: Bacteria; Pseudomonadati; Pseudomonadota; Gammaproteobacteria; Alteromonadales; Shewanellaceae.